CUUUUGGUUCUAUUAAGCAUUCAAUCAGAUACCAAACUGGAAUAGGCCAUGCAAACUGCUGAAUAAGCUUUUGAGAAUGUACCUGGUCUACAGGAAAAGUGCAGCUUUAAGCUGGUCUGAUAUUUCAGAUCAUAAAUUGAGCCAAGAGCAUGUGAAGUUUGAUCAAGCUUUAGUAUAUUGGAUGUGCUGUUGCUUGGACAUUGUUUAUCAGAUGUUGCCUACUCGAGAAAGAGAGGACUGCAAACAACAUGGGAACACUCUAACAGAUUAAUAGGAAACUUAAGUGGAAUGUCAAAUACCAUGUGAGGCUUGGUUUGGAUAGCACUGGUUCCUGCUAGAUCACUUCAGAGCCGAAAAGCACCUGUCUGAUGUCGCUAUGAAGAAUGGGACCAGGGCCGUCCCGAGGGGGGUGCUAGGCCCGGGGCGGAAAUGAUGAAUCCAUCACUUCCAGGACCGACCCGUCACAUCCGGGACUGACCGCGCUGGAGCCCGGCACAGUUGCCCCAAUUCGCCGUACCCAAGGGACAGCUCUGACUGGGGCUAAGGGAGCCAAUUUGUUUCUGUCAUUGGCAGCAGCUUCCAGAAUUUGACGCUAGGCAGAAUGCAGAGAAAUUCCAGACUGCUAGCCUGGGCUCUGUCCGUGUGUUCAGGUGAAUCGAUUUGGUGAACAUGACAUGAAUUCAUGAAUAUCUGUGUGUCGACAGAAACUGCAUUUUUUGGUGAAUAAACUGUUUGCCAAAAUAAUUUUGCUCAGCUCUACUUCUGGACCUCCAUUACCAUUCUGCUUUCCCACUUGGUG
Non-coding RNA from Chrysemys picta bellii (western painted turtle), 799 nucleotides. NCBI's taxonomy places the organism in Eukaryota, Metazoa, Chordata, Testudines, Emydidae. The record is from RefSeq and is a predicted model, not a curated record.